GGUUAAGCGACUAAGCGUACACGGUGGAUGCCCUGGCAGUCAGAGGCGAUGAAGGACGUGCUAAUCUGCGAUAAGCGUCGGUAAGGUGAUAUGAACCGUUAUAACCGGCGAUUUCCGAAUGGGGAAACCCAGUGUGAUUCGUCACACUAUCAUUAACUGAAUCCAUAGGUUAAUGAGGCGAACCGGGGGAACUGAAACAUCUAAGUACCCCGAGGAAAAGAAAUCAACCGAGAUUCCCCCAGUAGCGGCGAGCGAACGGGGAGCAGCCCAGAGCCUGAAUCAGUGUGUGUGUUAGUGGAAGCGUCUGGAAAGGCGCGCGAUACAGGGUGACAGCCCCGUACACAAAAAUGCACAUGCUGUGAGCUCGAUGAGUAGGGCGGGACACGUGGUAUCCUGUCUGAAUAUGGGGGGACCAUCCUCCAAGGCUAAAUACUCCUGACUGACCGAUAGUGAACCAGUACCGUGAGGGAAAGGCGAAAAGAACCCCGGCGAGGGGAGUGAAAAAGAACCUGAAACCGUGUACGUACAAGCAGUGGGAGCACGCUUAGGCGUGUGACUGCGUACCUUUUGUAUAAUGGGUCAGCGACUUAUAUUCUGUAGCAAGGUUAACCGAAUAGGGGAGCCGAAGGGAAACCGAGUCUUAACUGGGCGUUAAGUUGCAGGGUAUAGACCCGAAACCCGGUGAUCUAGCCAUGGGCAGGUUGAAGGUUGGGUAACACUAACUGGAGGACCGAACCGACUAAUGUUGAAAAAUUAGCGGAUGACUUGUGGCUGGGGGUGAAAGGCCAAUCAAACCGGGAGAUAGCUGGUUCUCCCCGAAAGCUAUUUAGGUAGCGCCUCGUGAAUUCAUCUCCGGGGGUAGAGCACUGUUUCGGCAAGGGGGUCAUCCCGACUUACCAACCCGAUGCAAACUGCGAAUACCGGAGAAUGUUAUCACGGGAGACACACGGCGGGUGCUAACGUCCGUCGUGAAGAGGGAAACAACCCAGACCGCCAGCUAAGGUCCCAAAGUCAUGGUUAAGUGGGAAACGAUGUGGGAAGGCCCAGACAGCCAGGAUGUUGGCUUAGAAGCAGCCAUCAUUUAAAGAAAGCGUAAUAGCUCACUGGUCGAGUCGGCCUGCGCGGAAGAUGUAACGGGGCUAAACCAUGCACCGAAGCUGCGGCAGCGACGCUGAUGCGUUGUUGGGUAGGGGAGCGUUCUGUAAGCCUGCGAAGGUGUGCUGUGAGGCAUGCUGGAGGUAUCAGAAGUGCGAAUGCUGACAUAAGUAACGAUAAAGCGGGUGAAAAGCCCGCUCGCCGGAAGACCAAGGGUUCCUGUCCAACGUUAAUCGGGGCAGGGUGAGUCGACCCCUAAGGCGAGGCCGAAAGGCGUAGUCGAUGGGAAACAGGUUAAUAUUCCUGUACUUGGUGUUACUGCGAAGGGGGGACGGAGAAGGCUAUGUUGGCCGGGCGACGGUUGUCCCGGUUUAAGCGUGUAGGCUGGUUUUCCAGGCAAAUCCGGAAAAUCAAGGCUGAGGCGUGAUGACGAGGCACUACGGUGCUGAAGCAACAAAUGCCCUGCUUCCAGGAAAAGCCUCUAAGCAUCAGGUAACAUCAAAUCGUACCCCAAACCGACACAGGUGGUCAGGUAGAGAAUACCAAGGCGCUUGAGAGAACUCGGGUGAAGGAACUAGGCAAAAUGGUGCCGUAACUUCGGGAGAAGGCACGCUGAUAUGUAGGUGAAGUCCCUCGCGGAUGGAGCUGAAAUCAGUCGAAGAUACCAGCUGGCUGCAACUGUUUAUUAAAAACACAGCACUGUGCAAACACGAAAGUGGACGUAUACGGUGUGACGCCUGCCCGGUGCCGGAAGGUUAAUUGAUGGGGUUAGCGCAAGCGAAGCUCUUGAUCGAAGCCCCGGUAAACGGCGGCCGUAACUAUAACGGUCCUAAGGUAGCGAAAUUCCUUGUCGGGUAAGUUCCGACCUGCACGAAUGGCGUAAUGAUGGCCAGGCUGUCUCCACCCGAGACUCAGUGAAAUUGAACUCGCUGUGAAGAUGCAGUGUACCCGCGGCAAGACGGAAAGACCCCGUGAACCUUUACUAUAGCUUGACACUGAACAUUGAGCCUUGAUGUGUAGGAUAGGUGGGAGGCUUUGAAGUGUGGACGCCAGUCUGCAUGGAGCCGACCUUGAAAUACCACCCUUUAAUGUUUGAUGUUCUAACGUGGACCCGUGAUCCGGGUUGCGGACAGUGUCUGGUGGGUAGUUUGACUGGGGCGGUCUCCUCCUAAAGAGUAACGGAGGAGCACGAAGGUUGGCUAAUCCUGGUCGGACAUCAGGAGGUUAGUGCAAUGGCAUAAGCCAGCUUGACUGCGAGCGUGACGGCGCGAGCAGGUGCGAAAGCAGGUCAUAGUGAUCCGGUGGUUCUGAAUGGAAGGGCCAUCGCUCAACGGAUAAAAGGUACUCCGGGGAUAACAGGCUGAUACCGCCCAAGAGUUCAUAUCGACGGCGGUGUUUGGCACCUCGAUGUCGGCUCAUCACAUCCUGGGGCUGAAGUAGGUCCCAAGGGUAUGGCUGUUCGCCAUUUAAAGUGGUACGCGAGCUGGGUUUAGAACGUCGUGAGACAGUUCGGUCCCUAUCUGCCGUGGGCGCUGGAGAACUGAGGGGGGCUGCUCCUAGUACGAGAGGACCGGAGUGGACGCAUCACUGGUGUUCGGGUUGUCAUGCCAAUGGCACUGCCCGGUAGCUAAAUGCGGAAGAGAUAAGUGCUGAAAGCAUCUAAGCACGAAACUUGCCCCGAGAUGAGUUCUCCCUGACCCUUUAAGGGUCCUGAAGGAACGUUGAAGACGACGACGUUGAUAGGCCGGGUGUGUAAGCGCAGCGAUGCGUUGAGCUAACCGGUACUAAUGAACCGUGAGGCUUAACCUU
Molecule: ribosomal RNA, 2904 nt
Filed under: Escherichia coli O152:H23
Lineage: Bacteria; Pseudomonadati; Pseudomonadota; Gammaproteobacteria; Enterobacterales; Enterobacteriaceae
Description: 23S ribosomal RNA
Rfam family: Bacterial large subunit ribosomal RNA
Source: RNAcentral